UACGGGGGGGGCAAGCGUUGUUCGGAAUUACUGGGCGUAAAGGGUUUGUAGGUGGCCCGCUAAGUCACACGUGAAAUCCCUCAGCUUAACUGGGGAACUGCGUGUGAGACUGGCAGGCUCGAGGGCAGGAGAGGAACGCGGAAUUCCAGGUGUAGCGGUGAAAUGCGUAGAUAUCGGGAGGAACACCAGUGGCGAAGGCGGCCUUCUGGACCAGUACUGACGCUCAUGCACGAAAGCGUGGGGAGCAAACAGG
This 253-nucleotide ribosomal RNA is filed under the name uncultured bacterium. RNAcentral describes it as "partial 16S ribosomal RNA". It matches the Rfam family "Bacterial small subunit ribosomal RNA", at positions 524 to 776 of the family's 1533-position model. The record is from RNAcentral.